AUUAAACGCUGGCGGCAUGCCUUACACAUGCAAGUCGAACGGCAGCACGGGGGCAACCCUGGUGGCGAGUGGCGGACGGGUGAGUAAAGCAUCGGAACGUAUCCUGGAGUGGGGGGAUAACGUAGCGAAAGUUACGCUAAUACCGCAUAUUCUGUGAGCAGGAAAGCAGGGGAUCGCAAGACCUUGCGCUCUGGGAGCGGCCGAUGUCGGAUUAGCUAGUUGGUGGGGUAAAGGCCUACCAAGGCGACGAUCCGUAGCGGGUCUGAGAGGAUGAUCCGCCACACUGGGACUGAGACACGGCCCAGACUCCUACGGGAGGCAGCAGUGGGGAAUUUUGGGACAAUGGGCGCAAGCCUGAUCCAGCCAUGCCGCGUGAGUGAAGAAGG
Molecule: ribosomal RNA, 386 nt
Filed under: uncultured bacterium
Lineage: Bacteria
Description: bacterial SSU rRNA
Rfam family: Bacterial small subunit ribosomal RNA
Source: RNAcentral